GUUUGAUCCUGGCUCAGAUUGAACGCUGGCGGCAGGCCUAACACAUGCAAGUCGAGCGGAUGAAGGGAGCUUGCUCCUGGAUUCAGCGGCGGACGGGUGAGUAAUGCCUAGGAAUCUGCCUGGUAGUGGGGGAUAACGUCCGGAAACGGGCGCUAAUACCGCAUACGUCCUGAGGGAGAAAGUGGGGGAUCUUCGGACCUCACGCUAUCAGAUGAGCCUAGGUCGGAUUAGCUAGUUGGUGGGGUAAAGGCCUACCAAGGCGACGAUCCGUAACUGGUCUGAGAGGAUGAUCAGUCACACUGGAACUGAGACACGGUCCAGACUCCUACGGGAGGCAGCAGUGGGGAAUAUUGGACAAUGGGCGAAAGCCUGAUCCAGCCAUGCCGCGUGUGUGAAGAAGGUCUUCGGAUUGUAAAGCACUUUAAGUUGGGAGGAAGGGCAGUAAGUUAAUACCUUGCUGUUUUGACGUUACCAACAGAAUAAGCACCGGCUAACUUCGUGCCAGCAGCCGCGGUAAUACGAAGGGUGCAAGCGUUAAUCGGAAUUACUGGGCGUAAAGCGCGCGUAGGUGGUUCAGCAAGUUGGAUGUGAAAUCCCCGGGCUCAACCUGGGAACUGCAUCCAAAACUACUGAGCUAGAGUACGGUAGAGGGUGGUGGAAUUUCCUGUGUAGCGGUGAAAUGCGUAGAUAUAGGAAGGAACACCAGUGGCGAAGGCGACCACCUGGACUGAUACUGACACUGAGGUGCGAAAGCGUGGGGAGCAAACAGGAUUAGAUACCCUGGUAGUCCACGCCGUAAACGAUGUCGACUAGCCGUUGGGAUCCUUGAGAUCUUAGUGGCGCAGCUAACGCGAUAAGUCGACCGCCUGGGGAGUACGGCCGCAAGGUAAAACUCAAAGGAAUUGACGGU
Molecule: ribosomal RNA, 910 nt
Filed under: uncultured bacterium
Lineage: Bacteria
Description: bacterial SSU rRNA
Rfam family: Bacterial small subunit ribosomal RNA
Source: RNAcentral